RNAcentral lists this ribosomal RNA (291 nucleotides) under uncultured microorganism. Its description in RNAcentral is "partial 16S ribosomal RNA". It matches the Rfam family "Bacterial small subunit ribosomal RNA", at positions 505 to 796 of the family's 1533-position model. The record is from RNAcentral.
GUGCCAGCAGCCGCGGUAAUACGGAGGGUGCAAGCGUUAAUCGGAAUUACUGGGCGUAAAGCGCACGCAGGCGGUCUGUCAAGUCGGAUGUGAAAUCCCCGGGCUCAACCUGGGAACUGCAUUCGAAACUGGCAGGCUAGAGUCUUGUAGAGGGGGGUAGAAUUCCAGGUGUAGCGGUGAAAUGCGUAGAGAUCUGGAGGAAUACCGGUGGCGAANGCGGCCCCCUGGACAAGACUGACGCUCANGUGCGAAAGCGUGGGGAAGCAACAGGAUUAGAUACCCUGGUAGUCC